CAGUCCCCAAAAUGUCAGCCUUUCCUUUUAGGGGCUAAGCAGACCCCUGAUGAAAAUUCAGUGCUUGUAGGUGCUGUGGGAGUGGAUUAUCCUCAGAACUGGAAAGUGUUUCCCAAUGUGAGGAGAGAAAUCAUGCUUGGAAUCAGUCUGAUAUCUCAAAAAACUCAACAAAUGGAGAUUGGAAAAGAACUGAUACUACAAGAACUAUAAAAAUAAUGUCUGAGUAAUGAAUAUGAUUGACUUCAUUGAAUUUAAUUUAGGUGUAAGGGAGAUCUUAAGCACAUGAAUAAAAAUACUUAUUUUAUGGAGAGAAAAGAAGCAAAAUAGAGGAAAUGGUUUCUCUGUUUCUCCCCAUUAAGAACACUGAAAGAAUUUAAGAUUGGUGCAAAGAGACAGUAAUUCAGAAACACAAAGCUUAAAUAAUUUGCAAGUCCUACACAUUUCUCAGGUUUUGUUGUAAUUCUUCCACAAGCACAAAACAGAAGCCUACAGAAGGAAGGUAUUAAACUACCUUGAAAAAUACUAAGCGAUGCUCCAUAUAGUAGAAAGUGAAAUAAAACUGCAAUAUGGAAAUUCUGUAUUGGCUGAGAUAGGCUGUUGCUUUCAAAAGCUGCAUAAAAUGGAAGCCAUUAGCUUCUACUUGCAUUUAAGCAGUGGAGUUAUAAAACCAGAAUGAUAUAAAAUUGUAAAUUAUAAUCAGGCAGGUAAUGUUAGACGUUAGAGGAAGAUGCUUCCGUUUGAAUACAUUGUUUGAGGAGGUGUUUUUAAAAAGUAUUCAUGGCAAAGGCAAUAAAGUAUUGGACUGCUGAGAUAUGAAGGCACUUUUGCCAGAGUACAGAGAUUGCCCCUGGAAGCAGACUUUUAUUUUUUUUCCCCUAAAAUUUACCUUGAGGAGCUCGAAAACACAUUAAUUCCACUGAAAUAUUGCCACUUCUUCCUUCUUCAUGGAAAACCAUCAUUUCUGUCAUUUGCUUGUAGAUAUUUCUCACUGCUUGCUAUUAUUUACUUGCGAAAUCAAGGGAAAUCAAAAUUAUACAUAAAUGGUCAUUAAUACUCUGAUGACAAGCCUCUUUUUUGUAUUUUCUUUUUUUUUCUGCUUACCCUGUGAAAGUUUGCUCAGAAAAUGGAACUUCAGGCGUUUGUUUCUCCCAAAAUGGAACUUCAGGCAUGGUUUUUCCCAGCACCAUGGGGUGCUGGGUCAGGAUGUGAAUGACACGAGUGCUGGAGGACUGCAGUGACAGCAGAGCUCCAGAUCUGCUCAGUGUGGGAAGUCUGAGGAAUUUGGUCUUGACCUGCCUUGGAAGCUGAGAAUUCAGAUGCCACUCUGUGUUCCCUAAGGAGUAACAUCUGCCCACUGGUGGCAGCUCCAUCAAACGUUUUUGUAUUUUUGCUUCAGUUAGGCAAGUUAAAAUGAUCAGCAGUGGAAUGUUCCUGUUUGUAUUCUUUUUAGUCCUUUCUAGCAAAUACUAAAUGUGCUUUUCCUUCCUGGGAAGCUUGUUGUUGUUCUGGUAAUGAGACUUCACACAUUAAAGCGUGCUGGUAGGAGCAUGGAGGAGCUCAGGUGGCACACUGAACGUUGUUCCUGUUGCUAGGAAGUGAUGAAUCUGCUAUCUAACGUGUUCAUUUUCCUUCUGCAUCUCUCCAAUGUAUCCUGUUAGAAUUUUCCUUCAUUUAAGCUGUAAAAUCAAAUUCUCACUUCCUAUAGCCAAAAGCUGAAGCCCGUUAAUACUCUGAGUGAGCUUAAACCCCUAAUUUUAUAAUUGAAUUAACUUAAAAAGGUAAAUAUUCUCCUUUUUCUGUAGUUCACAAGAGGUGUUUUCCCCCUACUGUAGCAUGAUAUCUGCAACAUAAUUUAGAAGAUCUGAUUGCUUUGCUGCUUUUCCUGAAAUGACAGAUGAUUUUGUGCAAGCUCUCAAUUUUCCUUCCCAAUUCCCCAACUUGAGGAUUGUCAUCCCAAGCUUUAUUGCCUUUGCAAUGAAUUUUUUCCUUGGGAGGUACUAUUUUGAGCACAGAUUUUCUGUAACAGUGGGAAUUAUUAUCUGUGACUAAUAACAAUCUCUGUGGAGCUUGUUAUACAACGAAGACUGAUCAUGUGCUUGAAUAUAUUCAUGUGAUUGCUUGCAGCUACGAGUAGCUUAAAUUUCUGUAAGUUGCUGCUUUAUCAAAAAUGAUUUUUUUUCCCUACUGAAAUAAGGUAAAUUAUUAAACUACUGCUAUUUUAGCUCAAGUUCAAUAACACUUAAGUGAACUUGCAUGCAACAAUCUAGAAAAAUGUAUGAAUUAACAGUGGUUAGUCUGGUCCUUUAACUGUUCUAACAGAAUUUUAAUUGUAACUUAAGUAGCUCCUUCUAUAGCUAACCUAUGUUUCUAAAAUAACAUUUCUUCAGAAGUGCCACAUAGAUGUGCCAAUAACAAGACACCAGUAGAAAAGAUUUUACUUGGAACCCAAUUUUAUCCUUGUUUAUUUAUUUUCUAAACAGCUCUUGUUUUGUGUAAAUGUUCUGAGAAUUAAUUAUCCUUCUGGGCACAGCGUGGAGCUCUCUAGAACAUCUAGGGCUUUGCAGGAGGAUCAGAGUCAGGAUGUUCUUUCUUCUGAUGUGGCUCAAUUUCAUAUUCUAAUCCCUAUUCGAGUAUUUUUGUAGGAGAAAACUUGAAGGCAAGGCAAUCUGUAGUAAUAAAGAGUACAGGACUGGUGGCUGUGUACACAUGAAGUUUAUUACCUUGUUUUCUGUGGAUUUUUGUAGGUAACAAGAUGAUCUUUAAGGUCCCUUCCAAACCAGGCCAUUCUGUGAUUCUAUUAUGCCAAAUUUAUACAGUUGGUAGACACAUCUACUUUGGAUUUGCUUUUGUUAAGUCAGCCCUGAGGAUGUAAAACAAAAGUGAAAGUGAACAACAGGAGCUUGUUACCCAAUAAAAGAUUGCAGAGGUUGCAAACCAAGUGUCAGCAGUGAGAGCCACAAGGAAUUUCUGUGCUGGGCAAGUCCAAAAAUGAGGAUGCUGGAGGCAUCCCCAGUGCUGCUUUUCUGUAGAAAUUGCACCUGGGAUGGAUUUUAUUUAUUUUGGAGAGCCUGGAAUAAUAAAGAAGUGCUUGCUGAAUAUUCAGUAACAUUUCCUUGUAAGGCCAAUUGCCUGGGUGCUGUCACCUCGUUGGGUACCUAAUGCUGCCCUGGGAGAUGGGACAUGAGGUUUUGGGUGUGCUGGGGAGGGGGUGGAGGAUGGGGACUGCAAGCAGAGCAGGGAAAGUCAUUAGAAAAUAACAAGUGUUUUCAAAAACUCUGUGAGGAUCUGAUUGCCAUCUGAGUUCUGUCAGUUCAGAAUAUAAACACAGCAUGGUGACUGGAACUGAAGUGUGUUUCUACUGUGGAGCGUGAUGCAAGGUCAAAAAGAGUGAUUUGAAUUGUGCAAGUUAGACAAUGAUUUCUGAAAAAAAUACUUUGACACAGAGCUAUCAGAAAUGGCAAUUGAAGAAAAGAGACUAGGGAAGAGUUGUAACUGUAUAUCCUUAACUGUAUGAAGCUGUCAAACAGUAGAGUAACUUAAUUUUGAUGAAACCCUGUCCUUUGGUUCUGUCCCCCUACUGAGGAGUGUAAGGCAAAAAAACCCUUCAAGCCUUGGUGUUUUAUUCCAAACUAGGAUGAUGAUGGUGAUGAUAAUUGUGGUUUUCCACACUUUCAAACCUUUGAGCCAGCCAUGGCAUAUAUAGGGAGCCAGCAGAGUUGUGCCAAGACUUGGUUAUGAGGCAUCUGCUGUGAGUCAGCCUUGCUCCAGCAGAGAUGAAAUCUGACAUCACUUGCUCCCUAAAGUGACUUUAAAGAUGUUGUUAGAGGCUUCUUUUCACAGGGUCAGCCACUAAAAUAGCUAUAUCUGCAGUGCUGAUUGAUUUGGAUGAUUUUUUUUAAAUACUCCUUCAGUUGCCUUGAUUGAAAAGUCACUGGGGAAUGACUGACACAAUCUUGUCAAGCUCUUGUCAAGCAAAGUUACGUUUUAGUUGCUUUAAUGCCAAACUGAUGGCUUCAGCCUGCUUGUCCUGGCCUGACUGGUUAAAAUUUAGGAAAUCUGUUCACUUUCACAAGAAAACAAAGUCUCUGUUGACUUGCAGUGCUACCAGGAGAUGAUGGCAGCAAGAACUUACUCUGACUUUGUGGGACAGCAGAUGAGGGGGAAGGCCCAGGGGAAUUUGUCUCCUUUUCCCAAAGCCUUGUUUUCAUAGAUGCCUUGCAGAACUGUGCUGGUUGUGAAUUUAGGAGGGAGACUGCUCCGGCACUCUUAUGACUGGAGUUUCAUUUAUUAUGUGCUGUUGUGAUAAAUUACUCAUUGAUGCCCUGAGAGUAUUUUCUCUGAUCUGUCUGUUCUUUUGUAUUGUUCUAAUUCUUUAUUUUAACUUCCUUUUGUCUUUAAAUCCUCAAAAUGCUAACACACGUUUCAUCCAUCUGCAUUUUAAAGUCUUUGUCCCAUGGACUGAUAAAUAAUGAUAUUGUCAAA
Taeniopygia guttata (zebra finch) is the source of this 4482-nucleotide long non-coding RNA. RefSeq lists it as uncharacterized. Lineage: Eukaryota; Metazoa; Chordata; Aves; Passeriformes; Estrildidae. The record is from RefSeq and is a predicted model, not a curated record.